UCAUAGACCAAAUGGAGCAAACAGCACGCAGACCUAGUGGUGGGAGGAAAAAAUCCUUAAAUAAGAGACACGGGGAAUGAUUAAUGGACUUCAAUGUCUGUACACUAAUGCGCAAAGCAUGGGAAAUAAACAAGAUGAGCUUGAGCUCUUGGUACAGCAAACUAAAUAUGACAUAAUAGGCAUCACUGAAACCUGGUGGGAUAAGUCCCAUGAUUGGAAUGUAAUAAUGGAGGGAUACAAUCUAUUUCAGAGAAACAGACCAGACAAGAAAGGAGGAGGAGUGGCGUUAUAUGUCAGGGAUGUGUAUACCUGUGAAGAGAUCCAAGAUUUAGAACCUCAAAGCCAAAGUGAGAGCAUUUGGGUCAAAAUUAAGGAGAGAAGAAUAACAGUGACCUCAUUGUGGGAGUUUACUAUAGAUCCCCAAGCCAAACGGAGGACGUAGAUGAUGCCUUCCUGGAACAGAUGGCCAAGCAUGCAAAAGGAAGGAGAUAGUAGUAAUGGGGGACUUCAAUUACCCGGAUAUUUGUUGGAUGUCAAACUCAGCCAAGAGCAUAAGGUCAAACAGAUUCCUCACUGCCCUUGCAGACAACUUCAUUGUCCAGAAAGUGGGAGAAGCAACAAGAGGAGCAGCCAUUUUAGAUCUGGUCCUAACCAAUGUUGAUGACCUGAUUAGUGGGGUAGAAGUGGAAGGAUCAUUAGGCGCGAGUGAUCAUGCUCUUCUGAAGUUUACUAUACAGCGGAAAGGAGCAGCCAAGCAUACUAGGACUCAAUUUCUUGACUUUAAGAAAGCCGACUUCAUAAAACUUAGGGAAGUGAUGGGUGAGAUCCCAUGGACAGUAAUACUAAAAGGAAAGGGAGUUCAUGAUGGCUGGGAGUUUGUUAAGAGGGAGAUAGUAAAAGCACAACUUCAGGCAAUACCAAUGAGACGGAAACAUGGAAGGUGCCUAAAGAAGCCAGGGUGGCUAUCUAAAGAACUUUUAACUGAGUUAAGAUUAAAAAGGAUGUGUACAAAAGAUGGAAAAGGGGGGGAAACCACCAAAGAGGAAUUCAAACAAAUAGCCAGCACGUGUAGACACAAAGUCAGAAAAGCUAAAGCACAGAAUGAACUCAGGCUUGCUAGAGAGGUUAAAAGCAACAAAAAAGGCUUUUAUGGGUAUGUUCGUAGCAAAAGGAAGAACAAAGAAACAGUGGGGUCACUCAGAGGAGAAGAUGGUGAAAUGCAAACAGGGGACACAGAAAGGGCUGAACUCCUCAAUGCCUUCUUUGCUUCAGUCUUCUCCGAUAAAGAAAACAAUGCCCGACCUGAAGAAUUUGGAGCAAAUGAUUCAGCAGAGGAAACAUAGCCCAGAAUAACUAAGGAGAUAGUACAAGAAUACUUGGCUAGUUUAGAUGUAUUCAAGUCUCCAGGGCCAGAUGAACUGCAUCCAAGAGUAUUAAAAGAACUGGCAGAUGUGAUCUCAGAACCACUGGCAGUCAUCUUUGAGAAUUCCUGGAGAACAGGCGAAGUCCCAGCAGACUGGAGGAGGGCAAAUGUCCCUAUUUUCAAAAAGGGGAAAAGAGAGGACCCAAAUAAUUACCGCCCAGUCAGUCUGACAUCAAUACCAGGGAAGAUUCUGGAGCAGAUCAUUAAGCAAACAGUCUGUGAGCACCUAGAAAGGAAUGCUGUGAUCACCAAUAGUCAGCAUGGAUUUCUGAAAAAUAAGUCAUGUCAGACUAACCUGAUCUCGUUUUUUGACAGAAUUACAAGCCUGGUAGAUGAAGGGAACGCAGUGGAUGUAGCCUACCUUGAUUUCAGCAAGGCAUUUGACAAGGUGUCCCAUGAUAUUCUUGUAAAGAAGCUGGUAAAAUGCGGUCUUGACAAUGCUACCACUCAGUGGAUUUGUAACUGGCUGACUGACCGAACCCAAAGGGUGCUCAUCAAUGGUUCCUCUUCUUUUUUUUUAACAAUAAUUUUUUAUUAACCGACCAAUCACAUCAAAUCAAACCAAAUUACAUAAAUUCCAAAUUACACAGCUGAAUUUUAAAUUUUUGUUGGGGAUACCCAUAUUUCAAGUUCCGAAGGGAUCCAAUCAACUUCUUGCUUCUUACUGCUGUUUUAAUGUCCACAAAUCUAACCUUAUGAUGUUCACAGUACUAUCCAGUCCUUUCUUAUUAUUUUUCCACAUCUCUUGUUGUUAUUUUCAUAUAUUUUUCCUUUCUCUUUGUGACCUCUGAUAGUCUCCACAAGCUGGUUAGAACAGUUUGUAAUCCUGCGUGGAUAUUAAUUUUUUUAUCCAGUAGCCAUAUCCAGACGUUUUCCAUAUAACAUCACUUCCAUACAUCAAAACAGUCUUAGCGUCAUUAAUCUUCACCAAUCUGCAUCCUUUCUCAAAACCUCUGAGGAGAUUCACUAGGAAUGCAGUCUGAAAACAAACCCGUUCUUCCUCCCGGCUAUAAAUCCUUUGGCAAGAUGGCAACUCCGAAUUAAUUGCUGCGCCAUUCCCAAAAGCUCUUAUUGCUUCUCGGUCUCCAUAAAGCAUACUUUUGGUUAAAGUUUAUCUACACACAGACCUUAAUCAUCCUGCUUGGGUCAGUUCAACCGACGGUUCUAAUGAGGAGGGGUUCUUGUAAAUCACAUAGAAGGAAAGUAAAAAAGGUUCCCCCCUCAUUCAGCCCCGUUGUCAACAUACCCCGCCUUUGGUGUAUCUUCAUCGUAAAAUAUUCCUGUUUCUCCAGCCCAUCGUCUUCUUUCGCAGAGGUCACUUAAAUUAGCAGACUUCACUCCCCUUCUUCACUUGAAAUAUGUGCAUUUGCUUCUUUUGUAAUUAAUUAUUCCAAAUUGCUGCAACUACUGCGCGAUCAGAGACAGCGUCCAGGAGAGCCGAUGUCCACACGGGGGCAUUCUGCCUAGGGACCUCACCCCCUUCUUUCGAAUUAAGGAGUGAUUUAUGGGCACAGCAGGCAAGGGCAGUGUUCCCCAUUUCCUUGGGGCAACAAGGGAGGCUGCCUACUCCCAUAACAGCCUCUUAAUUACCCCGUGUGGGUCGGAGAGAUGGUAUUGUCGGCCAUCUUCCAAUGCGCCCCCUAGUGGCCCCCCAUCAAUGGUUCCUCUUCAUCCUGGAGAAGAGUGACUAGUGGGGUGCCACAGGGUUCUGUCUUGGGCCCGGUCUUAUUCAACAUCUUUAUCAACGACUUGGAUGAUGGACUCAAGGGCAUCCUGAUCAAAUUUGCAGAUGACACCAAACUGGGAGGGGUGGCUAACACCCCAGAGGACAGGAUCACACUUCAAAACGACCUUGACAGAUUAGAGAACUGGGCCAAAACAAACAAGAUGAAUUUUAACAGGGAGAAAUGUAAAGUAUUGCACUUGGGCAAAAAAAUGAGAGGCACAAAUACAAGAUGGGUGACACCUGGCUUGAGAGCAGUACAUGUGAAAAGGAUCUAGGAGUCUUGGUUGACCACAAACUUGACAUGAGCCAACAGUGUGACGCGGCAGCUAAAAAGCCAAUGCAAUUCUGGGCUGCAUCAAUAGGAGUAUAGCAUCUAGAUCAAGGGAAGUAAUAGUGCCACUGCAUUCUGCUCUGGUCAGACCUCACCUGGAGUACUGUGUCCAGUUCUGGGCACCACAGUUCAAGAAGGACACUGACAAACUGGAACGUGUCCAGAGGAGGGCAACCAAAAUGGUCAAAGGCCUGGAAACGAUGCCUUAUGAGGAACGGCUAAGGGAGCUGGGCAUGUUUAGCCUGCAGAAGAGGAGGUUAAGGGGUGAUAUGAUAGCCAUGUUCAAAUAUAGAAAAGGAUGUCACAUAGAGGAGGGAGAAAGGUUGUUUUCUGCUGCUCCAGAGAAGCAGACACGGAGCAAUGGAUCCAAACUACAAGAAAGAAGAUUGCACCUAAACAUUAGGAAGAACUUCCUGACAGUAAGAGCUGUUCGACAGUGGAAUUUGCUGCCAAGGAGUGUGGUGGAGUCUCCUUCUUUGGAGGUCUUUAAGCAGAGGCUUGACAACCAUAUGUCAGGAGUGCUCUGAUGGUGUUUCCUGCUUGGCAGGGGGUUGGACUCGAUGGCCCUUGUGGUCUCUUCUAUGAUUCUAUGGAAGCCGUUAGGGGCCAGGAAUCAGAUUCCUCUUUGUCAGGUGCUGGAGGUGAGGAGGAGUCCUCUGAAUCUGAAGGGAAAAGACAGGGCCAGGCCAGCCCCACAAGCAUGUGGUAAAUCUGGGUCUUGGGUAUAGCACUUCAGGAUGCAGCUUGGAGCGUAUAGGACUGAAAGCUGCUCUAGCUUCCCCUGUCCCCUGAACAAAAUUCCUUUCACAUAGAAAGGUAGCAUGUGAGGGAGAAGGCUCUCGUCCCUCAAAUCCACAUUUUUCUGUAGAGCAAAGAUGGAGGAGCUGGAGCCCCUCAGAUGUUGUUGGACCACAGCUGCCAUCACCUCAUGACCAUUGGCAAUGCUGACUGGGGUUCAUGGGAGCUGGAGUCCAACAAAAUAUGAAGUUCCAGCGGUUCCUCAAAAGAGACUUUUUCAACUGGAGGAGUGUUCAAUUAUAUGCACCCUAAACUGCAAUCUAAAGCGGGACUAGGAAACCUUUUUCAUCCUGAGGGCCACAUUCCUUUGUGGGCAGCUUCCAAGGGCCACAUGCCGUUGGUGGAUGGGGCCAAAUGCCAAAGUGGAUAUAGCAACAAAUACAAAAAUUGCUAUUCU
Molecule: long non-coding RNA, 4675 nt
Filed under: Podarcis lilfordi (Lilford's wall lizard)
Lineage: Eukaryota; Metazoa; Chordata; Lepidosauria; Squamata; Lacertidae
Source: RNAcentral